GAAAGUGUUUACGUAUACGUAUACGUUGACAUUAAUAAUCUGUCAAAACCGUAAACACAUUAUUUUCAUAACGCAAUUUUGCGAUAGUUCCUAUUAGUUGAAAAAAAUUAAAUUUUUGUGUGCAAACUGAAACGCAAAAUGGUUUAGUGCGAUGUAUGCCAGCAGAAUAUUUCGGGAAACAUUUACAAGCACAAAAGAGUUGAGCACAGUUGGGAUCGAGGUGGUAUUAAAUUGAUUAAACAGGAAGAUAAAACUCUGAUCGAAGCUAUACAAAACGAAAAAACAUUCGUUGGACCUUCGCUGUUAUAUUUGAAACGUCUCGCAAAUUAUGCGGUAACACAAAAUUUUCAAGCCACAUUUUUUGGAGUCGACUCACCAAAACCAGAACUUGUCAUUACAACGGGUACAAUUGCAGAGAAUGAAAGAAAUUUGGCUGAAAUUGUGGAUCAACUCUAUGGCCAAAUCGGUCAAUGAACUACGAUCGCUAUUCAAUAUUUAGUUUAUGAAUAUGUUCAUUUUUUCACGCAAAAUGCGACCAAUUACAUUUAUAAUUAAAUACCAUGAAUAAAUAUUAAUUUUUUAUGUAAAAAAUGGAAACAAAUCUCUUUUCAUUUGUUCGCUUUCAAGCGGGUUGAAAUAUUCAUUGAAUUCACAAUUUUUUAUAUUUUUACAAGCAUGGAUUGUGAAGAACGCCAAAUAUAUGAGAACCAUAAAUAAAUCCAAAUGAAUAAAUUGAAAUUCAGCAGUGUUUUAGUAGUAUAGUGUUUUUAUUUUUGUUUGAUAUCAAUAUGUAGCUAAGAGACAUUUUCCAAUCAUUUAUAUUUAUUUAAUUAAACAUAAAAGUAAGUAAUUUACGCAUAUUUUGCGAGAGAACUAAUGCUCAGGUGUAUCAACAUCAGACAUCUCCGGGAUUGUAUUUUCAUUCUCUGCAAUUGUACCCGUUGUAAUGACAAGUUCUGGUUUUGGUGAGUCGACUCCAAAAAAUGUGGCUUGAAAAUUUUGUGUUACCGCAUAAUUUGCGAGACGUUUCAAAUAUAACAGCGAAGGUCCAACGAAUGUUUUUUCGUUUUGUAUAGCUUCGAUCAGAGUUUUAUCUUCCUGUUUAAUCAAUUUAAUACCACCUCGAUCCCAACUGUGCUCAACUCUUUUGUGCUUGUAAAUGUUUCCCGAAAUAUUCUGCUGGCAUACAUCGCACUAAACCAUUUUGCGUUUCCUGUUUAAAUUAUAAAAUAAUUGUUGAUAUAAAGAAUGUAAAACUGAGAGUAAAGAGCGAUUGAGGUUAGAAUAUCACGAAAAUGUGCAUAUGAUUCUAAACGUUCUAAACUCAUUUAUUGGUUUUUUUCUCUCUGCUUUACAUUUCUUGUUACUGUAAAAUCACUUUUCAAAAAUUUAUGAAAUCGUAUUCAAUCUAAACACAAUAAAAUCACAAAAUAACUUACAGUUUGCACACAAAAAUUUAAUUUUUUUCAACUAAUAGGAACUAUCGCAAAAUUGCGUUAUGAAAAUAAUGUGUUUACGGUUUUGACAGAUUAUUAAUGUCGACGUAUACGUAACCACAGCUGUCAUAAUAUAUACGUAACUUCGUAUUUUCACAUUGUGGAGAAUUUUUUCUGUUUCAUUAAUAAUGAAUCAUUAUUUUCUGUUCCCAUAGAAUGGUAUGGCGCUCAUUAGCGAGA
Long non-coding RNA from Contarinia nasturtii (swede midge), 1676 nucleotides. RefSeq lists it as uncharacterized. The transcript is spliced from 4 exons. The record is from RefSeq and is a predicted model, not a curated record. NCBI's taxonomy places the organism in Eukaryota, Metazoa, Arthropoda, Insecta, Diptera, Cecidomyiidae.